UACGUAGGGUGCUAGCGUUGUCCGGAUUUAUUGGGCGUAAAGAGCUCGUAGGCGGUCCGUCACGUCGGCUGUGAAAUCCCGAGGCUCAACCUCGGGUCUGCAGUCGAUACGGGCAAACUAGAGUAUUGCAGGGGAGACUGGAAUUCCUGGUGUAGCGGUGAAAUGCGCAGAUAUCAGGAGGAACACCGGUGGCGAAGGCGGGUCUCUGGGCAAUAACUGACGCUGAGGAGCGAAAGCGUGGGGAGCGAACAGG
RNAcentral lists this ribosomal RNA (253 nucleotides) under uncultured bacterium. RNAcentral's name for it is "partial 16S ribosomal RNA". It matches the Rfam family "Bacterial small subunit ribosomal RNA", at positions 524 to 776 of the family's 1533-position model. The record is from RNAcentral.